RNAcentral lists this ribosomal RNA (216 nucleotides) under Glomeromycotina sp. RNAcentral describes it as "partial small subunit ribosomal RNA". The stretch from base 75 to 216 matches the Rfam family "Eukaryotic small subunit ribosomal RNA", at positions 721 to 864 of the family's 1831-position model. Lineage: Eukaryota; Fungi; Glomeromycota. The record is from RNAcentral.
GGGUCAGUAGGUUGGUCGUGCCACCGGUACGUACUGGUCUCACUGAUUCCUCCUUCCCGAAGAACCGUAACGCCAUUAAUUUGGUGUUGCGGGGAAACAGGACUGUUACUUUGAAAAAAUUAGAGUGUUUAAAGCAAGCUAACGCUUGAAUACAUUAGCAUGGAAUAAUGAAAUAGGACGAUCGAUCCUAUUUUGUUGGUUUCUAGGAUUGACGUA